RNAcentral lists this ribosomal RNA (749 nucleotides) under uncultured marine bacterium. RNAcentral describes it as "bacterial SSU rRNA". It matches the Rfam family "Bacterial small subunit ribosomal RNA", at positions 94 to 883 of the family's 1533-position model. The record is from RNAcentral.
AGUGGCGCACGGGUGAGUAACACGUGGGAACAUACCUUAUAGUACGGAAUAACUGCGGGAAACUGUAGCUAAUACCGUAUAUUCCAGUAAUGGGAAAGAUUUAUCGCUAUAAGAUUGGCCCGCGCAAGAUUAGCUUGUUGGUGAGGUAAAAGCUCACCAAGGCUUCGAUCUUUAGCUGGUUUGAGAGGAUGAUCAGCCACACUGGGACUGAGACACGGCCCAGACUCCUACGGGAGGCAGCAGUAGGGAAUAUUGGACAAUGGGGGAAACCCUGAUCCAGCAAUGCAGCGUGAGUGACGAAGGCCUUAGGGUUGUAAAACUCUUUCAUCGGUGAGGAUAAUGACAGUAGCCGAAGAAGAAGGACCGGCUAAUUCCGUGCCAGCAGCCGCGGUAAUACGGAAGGUCCUAGCGUUGUUCGGAAUUACUGGGCGUAAAGCGCAUGUAGGCGGAACAAAAAGUUAGAAGUGAAAUCCCUGGGCUCAACCUAGGAAUUGCUUUUAAAACUUUUGUUCUGGAAUUCAGGAGAGGAAAAUGGAAUUUCCAGUGUAGAGGUGAAAUUCGUAGAUAUUGGAAGGAACACCAGUGGCGAAGGCGAUUUUCUGGACUGAUAUUGACGCUGAGAUGCGAAGGCAUGGGUAGCAAACGGGAUUAGAUACCCCGGUAGUCCAUGCAGUANACGAUGGGUGCUAGUCGUCGGACUUUUGUUCGGUGUCGUAGCUAACGCGUUAAGCACCCCGCCUGGGGAGUAC